AAAAAAAAAAAAUUCAAUCUUUGUGGCUCUCUUCUUUGUUUUUCUUUGGAUUUUGUUGUUAGUUAUUGGUCCAUUUGAAUACCCAAAUCCCAGAAAUCUUUGUUGUUUGAAGAGAAUAAGGGAAGUUGUGAAUUGGGUUUGGGUCAAUAUUUAGGGAAACAAGGAAAGGAAAUGAGGGAGGAUGAUUCUAAUUGGUUUUCAAGAUGGGAGGAAGAGCUCCCAUCACCAGAAGAGCUUAUGCCCUUAUCCCAAACCCUAAUUACUCCUGAUCUUGCUCUUGCUUUCGAUAUCCGUAAUCCUACUAAUACUGCCACCACUAACACCGCUUCUCUUUUACAACAAAAUCAUCCUCCUCCUCCUCCACCGCCGCA
RNAcentral lists this unclassified non-coding RNA (371 nucleotides) under Hevea brasiliensis (rubber tree). Lineage: Eukaryota; Viridiplantae; Streptophyta; Magnoliopsida; Malpighiales; Euphorbiaceae. The record is from RNAcentral.